AAAAGCGAAGGGAGUUUGGGGAGAGUCGAGUGCCGAUCGCACCGAUCGCGCCGAGAAGGGAAAACUGUCCCAUAAAGCGGCGACCUUCCGUCCCUCUGCACCGCCCUGCCUCCUCUCUCCUUUUCCAACUAUUACUACCGGUUACUUACCUCUCUUGUACUGUUGGACUCGUGUGUAUUACUUAACUAUGUCUAUUUACUGGUGCGAUUCUGGUUUAUAUGCUCAAAGGAACCGCGGGUUUCCAACUAACAACCUUCGAGUCGGUGCUCCUGGUGUCAACGCCGGUGGUACUACGUGAAUACUUCGACUUUGCCUCAUAAAUUGCAACAAAAGCCAUCUCUCAAAGAAUAAACCAUUUAGAUUAUGACAUUUAACUGCUACUAUUUUCAUCCAAGUUUUUAGACUGAAAGUAACGCCAUUAACUGCUACGCCCCCUGCUGCCCGAUAUGAUGCCCUCGUCCUAAGAAAUCCUAAAAUUCCAAUUAAAUGUCCCAGAAUUUACACAGAACUUAUAAAUCUAUAUUUCAUUUAUAGUUUAAUUUUUGUAUGUUAGAUGACUACCUAAAGCAGGCGAUUACACAGUUGGAAAUUACUGUGAAAUUUACUUUCAGCCUGAAAACACUGAGCAAAAACAGUAAUGAAACAAUUCACGGGAAAAAAAAAAAGAAAAACCACAACUCGUCUAGUACGUUCUACCUGUUCGUUUUUGGUGAGGUGGAGGAUUCGGUGAGCGAUUCGUCAGGCCUGUACCAAGGCCUCCGUUAUGACGUCAUCGGAUUUUCACAGAACGAUCUGGAGGAGAAUCGGAUUACACACAGGGGCUCACACACAUGUAGGAAAGGAAACUGACCAACAUCCAGCUUUGAGGUUCAAGUGCAUCACUACUGUUGCCCUACGAAAGAACAAGUGGUGGGUCUCCUGUGAUUCAUUUACAGGUUGUGGUCUGAAGAACAUAAAAAUCCAUGGCAACACAAAGCGAAGGGUGCUACUUCUGCCACUCUCCAGGACUCGGCUUGUUCCCGUUGACGAAUUAGCUGCUGCCUUUUGCUUCCUUCAUGAUGACGCACGUGAAGCACUGGACAAGAAAACAGGUGGAAAAUGGAAAUACAAUGAUGAGUCACUGUCUGCGUGUGAAAAAAUGAAAGACCUGGUGGAAGCACGAGCCGCAGACAGAGCAGACAAGAGCUACUAUUUUUUUCUCCCCGGUCCAAAUACAGUUUAUUUUAUGUCAUUUUUUAUUUUUACCCCAAACUACCAAGCCCUUCUUUCCUUUAUCAAUGUCUAUUCAAGACAUUCUUUUCAGUGCUUUGGCACUGAACCUACUGAAUUUAUAUCUAUGAGCAGAAAAGAAAACAUGAACAAACUUCUAUGAUUUACAUGUGUAAGAACUAAUACUUACAGAAUUAGACAGUAUAUUUCCAUAAAAAUGAGAUAUAUAUACUGGAGAAUGGGCGAUGGAAUAACAAGUCACAAAAAAUAAUAUCCUAGUGUUGAGAUAUUCCCUGAAAUGUAAAUCUUGCAUUGUCCCAGGAAUCUUCUACCCAGUAACAGAUUUUGCAUUCAGCCACUUUAUUAUUAAAACAAGUGCACAUAUCCAUUAUUUCUCUCUGGGUAAUUUAAACAUGCUUGUACAAAAUGAAAAGCUUCUUAAAAAUUUGGAAUUAGUAAGUUGGGCUAAUCAGUGUUUGGGAGCUCUGUUCUAUUUUUAUGUUUUCAAUGACUUUCUGUAAGGAUUAAUUUUAUUUCUUCCUCUGGGACAGUAAUUUUUUUUUAUAUUAAAUGUAAACUAAAGCAACACGCAUUAUAAGCAAGCAAUGGAGUGCUGGAUUCUGGGUUAGAAUAAUUCUUUUUAGUUGUGUGAUAAAUCUUAAAAUUCACCUACAUAGCAGCGACUUCUGAAACAGUCAACUGUCUAGCAGACCUAGCAAAAUUAAUAGCGUGCAAAAAUAUGCACAAUAAGUCAUUGUCCUAAGUCUCCUAAGUUGUGGAUGUGAGAAUGACCCUCCUAGAUGCAGUAACUGGGCCACUGUCUCAUCUGCUAAUGAGAUCUGCAAAUCACCGCGUGGGAUCCGUGGUCCGUGGGGCGGUCGGCUAUCUCCCGGAGACCACCGUCUCCCUGCCCCGCUCCCCACGGUAAAGGGACCACAAAUGGCUCCUGGCACUUCAGCUGGUGCUCCAGGAGUCGGCGGAUUAACUGAGAUCAGAAUAAUAUCAGUUCCCGUUAGAAGCCUCGGUGCUUUGGGAGUGAUCCCUGGGGGUAUGUUUUAAUCAGCAGCUAUGGCUGUAGUUUAGCAAAAUCAUCAACAUCGGUUCCUGCCUUGAGGUGGGGGCAUUUUCGGUGAGGGGGAGGUGGUGCGUCACAGGGAAAAGAGGCAGGCGUUAGUGGUCCAGCUGUGAGAUAUAGCUCACCCUUGGACCCCUGUUCAUCCUCCAGACAGGUCCAGGGCAGACGCUGGCCCCGGCAGCGGGAGCGCGACACUCCCGUGAGCCGAAGGUCGCGCGACAUCUGGCUGGCAACCCCACCGAGAAGAUGUGGUCACUUAGCAGCCCAGCCAACGAUGUGGGGUUUGAAAAACACAUCUGAAAGGAUUGUGUCCGUAGCGUAGAGGACGAAACGUGUAAAUGUUCCUCAACCGUCCAAUAAGGAUGCGGUGCCGCAGCCCUAUUUGUUGCCCCCCGUCAUCGCCUUCCUUCGGAGGGGCCCUUCUGCACGAAGCGCCUCCUCGAGAAUCCGUGCUUAAUUUUAACUGCCGCCUCCCGCUAAAGUAAAGAAUCGGUUUCCGAAGACUUUCGUUAAUCGUGGUAAGCGGGGGGCUGUGGGCCGUACUGUAUUACCUCCCUUUCAGAAACGGAGCGCUUUCACGGUCUGCACGGCAUAGGAAGAGGAAACCGUUCCGGAGAGAGGGCUGUUUACCGCCGCUGCUGGUUCUAUGUUGUCUGGUGCCGCAGGGAAAGAAAAAAAACGCAAUAACACACAAUUAUGUUUUUGCUGUAGCUGGUCUUAAAGUGCCGCAAUCAUCUCCAGAUCGCGCACGAUCAUUUUCAGUAUGAGGCAGAACUUGAAAUGCGUUAACUCCCGUUCCCCGGAUUCAAUUAAACUCUCGCAAUAACGAUAAUUUGCCAAAAAUCAGCCGUUUGCGAGAUUGCCAGCCGUUUCUUUCAGUUUCCUAUAUGACACCCAGCUACGGCACACACGCUGCUGCAUCUACUGGAUGCCGUUUUUAAGUCGACCGCAGAAAACUGCACAGCCUGGACACGGGAGACGUUCUGCAGCGCGCUGAAUUACCACCUUUAUUUCCGCUGACGGUGAACAUGCUCUACCUUGGCACGUAACUAACGGUGAAUGUGAAAUAAGCGAGCGUUCAAAGUCGGCGUGUUUUAGUCCAUCAAAGUGGAGCGCUGAAAAGCCUCGUUACCGUGUUACUUUGCAAGUACUCUCUGUAGGAACACUGUAAAAGGCUGGGUAAAAAUAAUUACACGCGCAAAUAGCUCUGGACUUGAAGAUUGUUUUCUGAGAUAAAAUCAUUAACUUGUGCGGUAUGGAUUAAACUGCCUUUGACUGGUCUUCAUCUGAGGAGAUCCAUGGACGUGAGAUUAGGCAAGCCGUCAGAGGACCGUGCGUUCCGUCCGAGGCGCACGUUACGGAUUCCGUUUUCAAAGACUCGGAGGAUGAAGGUUUUUAUGACUGCUAGAAGCACGGGAAGUGCAAUGCAGGGGGGAUAUGAUGAAGGAUCAAUACCCCGAUGGCAUUUCCCAACAAAUAAAAAGAGAUGUGAAAACGUGCGGUCA
Molecule: long non-coding RNA, 3789 nt
Filed under: Scleropages formosus (Asian bonytongue)
Lineage: Eukaryota; Metazoa; Chordata; Actinopteri; Osteoglossiformes; Osteoglossidae
Description: lncRNA (ENSSFOG00015027830.1)
Source: RNAcentral